UAUAUACCUACCAAUGAAAUUCACAAAAGAAGCUUAUACGGAGAAGAUUAGCAUGGCCCUGCGCAAGGAUGACAUGCACAAAUCGAAUAGAACCUAAAAAGUAUU
Non-coding RNA from Cucumis melo (muskmelon), 105 nucleotides. The record is from Rfam. Lineage: Eukaryota; Viridiplantae; Streptophyta; Magnoliopsida; Cucurbitales; Cucurbitaceae.